Molecule: long non-coding RNA, 817 nt
Organism: Cimex lectularius (bed bug)
Lineage: Eukaryota; Metazoa; Arthropoda; Insecta; Hemiptera; Cimicidae
Exons: 3
Source: RefSeq, a predicted model, not a curated record
AGCUAAACAGAGAACAACUACUUUACACAGAAUGAAAACAUCAAACCUAUAAAAAUAUUAUAAAAAAGUAUUAAUACAACAAGAUUUGAACACAUAUGUCAAAAACAGGCAAUCAUCACAUAUUUUUCGAUUAUAUUAUCUUUUAGGCUUUUAAAACAAUAAGAGUUUGGAUUAUGAUUUAAACUAUAUAAUAUGUAAAAACCCUAUUGAAAAUUAAUAAAUUUUAAAAUAUACAUAUUGCAUUUAUUUGAUAUACCUUCUCUACUGAUUCACGCUAAUAAAUAUAUUCACUCUCAAUAUACACAAAACAUAUCUAUCAAAUACUAUACACAAUACAGUCAUUUCUUCCAAAAACCAAAAUAAUGCCAGGUUCAUGGAGAAUUCUCAUAUCUGGUGGCACACUUACACUCUCUCUAUAUGGAGCCGAGAAAUGUAAAGAAUAAAAAAUUCUUCAAUUUAGGAGGGAGAAAUCAAGCAAUCUUUUUCUACAUGCUGGACAACAAUUUGCCCCAAAAGAAAGAGUUUGUGUGUCAAUCUUGCACGGCUCAUUCUUAAUCGAGAGAAGAUGAUGCCUUUUACGAUUUUGAUCCUCCGAGGGCCGUCAACCCUGUCCUUGAUAUAUGACAUCUGAGGGCUCAAUCGUGGUGAUGAGGAUGUCCCGGACUUAGCCACCUUCUUAUUCUACUUCAGAUGUAGCCAUGAAGGUGUUUUAAAAAAUUUAACAGGAGAUAUUUUAAACAAGCAAUAAGAGUAGCUACCGUAAAAGACACACUCUUCAUUUCUAACGUUGAGACAGUCGUCGCUGAGGAGGAGGACA